CUGAGUACUACACUCUCUACCCUUUGUGAACACAUCUUGUUGCUUCGGGGGCGACCCUGCCGGCACUACGUCGCCGGGCGCCCCCGAAGGUCUCCAAACACUGCAUCUUUGCGUCGGAGUUUAAACAAAUUAAACA
This 136-nucleotide unclassified non-coding RNA is filed under the name uncultured Mycosphaerella. Its description in RNAcentral is "sequence contains ITS1". The record is from RNAcentral. Lineage: Eukaryota; Fungi; Ascomycota; Dothideomycetes; Mycosphaerellales; Mycosphaerellaceae.